AAAUUUACUUUCUUUAUUUUAAGUGAAAAAAUUUAUUUUUAGGUUAAAAAGCCUAAUUUUUAUUGUAGGACGAGAAGACCCUAUAGAACUUUACUUCUUUAGAAUAAUUGUUUUUUGUUAAUAAUUUCUUUUAUUUAGUGAGAAGUUUUAUUGGGGUGAUAAAAAAAAUUUUAUAACUUUUUUUCUUUAUUUCAUUUAUUUAUGAUUUUUUGAUCCUUUAUUAUGGAUAAUAAGAUUAAGUUACCUUAGGGAUAACAGCGUUAUUAUUUUGGAGAGUUCAUAUCGAUAAAAUAGUUUGCGACCUCGAUGUUGGAUUAAGAUUAGUUUCAGGAGUAGAGGAUUGACGACUAGGUC
RNAcentral lists this ribosomal RNA (354 nucleotides) under Nasocoris lautereri. Its description in RNAcentral is "partial large subunit ribosomal RNA". Lineage: Eukaryota; Metazoa; Arthropoda; Insecta; Hemiptera; Miridae. The record is from RNAcentral.